GUUGUAUAGUCAAGUAAUUAAGUGCAUGUGGUGGAUGCCUUGGCAGUCAGAGGCGAUGAAAGACGUGAUAGCCUGCGAAAAGCUCCGGGGAGGCGGCAAAUAUCCUUUGAUCCGGAGAUGUCUGAAUGGGGGAACCCACCUACUUUAAGGUAGGUAUUGCAACAUGAAUACAUAGUGUUGCAAGGCGAACGAGGGGAAGUGAAACAUCUCAGUACCCUUAGGAAAAGAAAUCAAUUGAGAUUCCCUCAGUAGCGGCGAGCGAACGGGGAUCAGCCCAUUAAGUUAUGUGUGUUUUAGUGGAACGCUCUGGGAAGUGCGAACGUAGAGGGUGAUAUUCCCGUACACGAAAGGGCACACAUAAUGAUGACGAGUAGGGCGAGGCACGUGAAACCUUGUCUGAAUAUGGGGGGACCAUCCUCCAAGGCUAAAUACUCCUGACUGACCGAUAGUGAACCAGUACCGUGAGGGAAAGGCGAAAAGAACCCCUGUGAGGGGAGUGAAAUAGAUCCUGAAACCGCAUGCAUACAAGCAGUGGGAGCACCUUCGUGGUGUGACUGCGUACCUUUUGUAUAAUGGGUCAGCGACUUAUAUUCAGUAGCGAGGUUAACCGUAUAGGGGAGCCGUAGAGAAAUCGAGUCUUAAUAGGGCGUUUAGUUGCUGGGUAUAGACCCGAAACCAGGCGAUCUAUCCAUGAGCAGGUUGAAGGUUGGGUAACACUAACUGGAGGACCGAACCCACUGUCGUUGAAAAGCCAGGGGAUGACUUGUGGAUAGGGGUGAAAGGCUAAUCAAGCCUGGUGAUAGCUGGUUCUCCCCGAAAGCUAUUUAGGUAGCGCCUCGGACGAAUACCAUAGGGGGUAGAGCACUGUUUCGGCUAGGGGGUCAUCCCGACUUACCAAACCGAUGCAAACUCCGAAUACCUAUGAGUACUAUCCGGGAGACAGACUGCGGGUGCUAACGUCCGUAGUCAAGAGGAAAACAAUCCAGACCGCCAGCUAAGGCCCCAAAAUCAUAGUUAAGUGGGAAACGAUGUGGGAAGGCAUAGACAGCUAGGAGGUUGGCUUAGAAGCAGCCACCCUUUAAAGAAAGCGUAAUAGCUCACUAGUCGAGUCGGCCUGCGCGGAAGAUGUAACGGGGCUAAAACUAUGUGCCGAAGCUGCGGAUGUAUACUUUGUAUACGUGGUAGGGGAGCGUUCUGUAAGCCGAUGAAGGUGUGUUGAGAAGCAUGCUGGAGGUAUCAGAAGUGCGAAUGCUGACGUGAGUAACGACAAAACGGGUGAAAAACCCGUUCGCCGAAAGACCAAGGGUUCCAGUCCAACGUUAAUCGGGGCUGGGUGAGUCGCCCCUAAGGCGAGGCCGAAAGGCGUAGUCGAUGGGAAAAUGGUUAAUAUUCCAUUACUUCUGUGUAAUGCGAUGAGAGGACGGAGAAGGCUAAAUCAGCCUGGCGUUGGUUGUCCAGGUGAAAGGAUGUAGGCAUGUAUCUUAGGCAAAUCCGGGGUACUCUAUGCUGAGAUCUGAUAGCAAGCUGUACUUGUACAGCGAAGUGGUUGAUGCCAUGCUUCCAGGAAAAGUCUCUAAGCUUCAGUUACACAGGAAUCGUACCCGAAACCGACACAGGUGGUCAGGUCGAGUAGACCAAGGCGCUUGAGAGAACUCUGCUGAAGGAACUAGGCAAAAUGGUACCGUAACUUCGGGAGAAGGUACGCUGUUGUUGGUGAUGGAACUCGCUUCCUGAGCUGACGACAGCCGCAGAAACCAGGCCGCUGCAACUGUUUAUUAAAAACAUAGCACUCUGCAAACACGAAAGUGGACGUAUAGGGUGUGAUGCCUGCCCGGUGCUGGAAGGUUAAUUGAUGGGGUUAGCGUAAGCGAAGCUCUUGAUCGAAGCCCCAGUAAACGGCGGCCGUAACUAUAACGGUCCUAAGGUAGCGAAAUUCCUUGUCGGGUAAGUUCCGACCUGCACGAAUGGCAUAAUGAUGGCGGCGCUGUCUCCAGCAGAGGCUCAGUGAAAUCGAAAUCGCUGUGAAGAUGCAGUGUACCCGCGGCUAGACGGAAAGACCCCGUGAACCUUUACUGCAGCUUGACACUGAACUUUGACCUUACUUGUGUAGGAUAGGUGGGAGGCUUUGAAGCUGGAACGCUAGUUCCAGUGGAGCCGUCCUUGAAAUACCACCCUGGUAAUGUUGAGGUUCUAACUCUGUCCCGUGAUCCGGGACGAGGACCGUGUCUGGUGGGUAGUUUGACUGGGGCGGUCUCCUCCUAAAGAGUAACGGAGGAGUACGAAGGUGCGCUCAGCGUGGUCGGAAAUCACGCGUAGAGUAUAAAGGCAAAAGCGCGCUUAACUGCGAGACCCACAAGUCGAGCAGGUACGAAAGUAGGUCUUAGUGAUCCGGUGGUUCUGUAUGGAAGGGCCAUCGCUCAACGGAUAAAAGGUACUCUGGGGAUAACAGGCUGAUACCGCCCAAGAGUUCAUAUCGACGGCGGUGUUUGGCACCUCGAUGUCGGCUCAUCUCAUCCUGGGGCUGAAGCAGGUCCCAAGGGUAUGGCUGUUCGCCAUUUAAAGAGGUACGCGAGCUGGGUUUAGAACGUCGUGAGACAGUUCGGUCCCUAUCUACCGUGGGCGCUGGAAAUUUGAGAGGAUCUGCUCCUAGUACGAGAGGACCAGAGUGGACGAACCUCUGGUGUACCGGUUGUGACGCCAGUCGCAUCGCCGGGUAGCUAUGUUCGGAAGGGAUAACCGCUGAAAGCAUCUAAGCGGGAAGCCUACCUCAAGAUAAGAUUUCCCUAGGACUUUAUGUCCUCUAAAGAGCCGUUCGAGACUAGGACGUUGAUAGGUUGGAUGUGGAAGCAUAGUGAUAUGUGAAGCUGACCAAUACUAAUUGCUCGUGAGGCUUGACUAUACAACACCCAAGCAGUUG
RNAcentral lists this ribosomal RNA (2917 nucleotides) under Acinetobacter baumannii. RNAcentral describes it as "bacterial LSU rRNA". It matches the Rfam family "Bacterial large subunit ribosomal RNA". Lineage: Bacteria; Pseudomonadati; Pseudomonadota; Gammaproteobacteria; Moraxellales; Moraxellaceae. The record is from RNAcentral.